GGGGAGCCGAAGGGAAACCGAGUCUUAACUGGGCGUUAAGUUGCAGGGUAUAGACCCGAAACCCGGUGAUCUAGCCAUGGGCAGGUUGAAGGUUGGGUAACACUAACUGGAGGACCGAACCGACUAAUGUUGAAAAAUUAGCGGAUGACUUGUGGCUGGGGGUGAAAGGCCAAUCAAACCGGGAGAUAGCUGGUUCUCCCCGAAAGCUAUUUAGGUAGCGCCUCGUGAAUUCAUCUCCGGGGGUAGAGCACUGUUUCGGCAAGGGGGUCAUCCCGACUUACCAACCCGAUGCAAACUGCGAAUACCGGAGAAUGUUAUCACGGGAGACACACGGCGGGUGCUAACGUCCGUCGUGAAGAGGGAAACAACCCAGACCGCCAGCUAAGGUCCCAAAGUCAUGGUUAAGUGGGAAACGAUGUGGGAAGGCCCAGACAGCCAGGAUGUUGGCUUAGAAGCAGCCAUCAUUUAAAGAAAGCGUAAUAGCUCACUGGUCGAGUCGGCCUGCGCGGAAGAUGUAACGGGGCUAAACCAUGCACCGAAGCUGCGGCAGCGACGCUGAUGCGUUGUUGGGUAGGGGAGCGUUCUGUAAGCCUGCGAAGGUGUGCUGUGAGGCAUGCUGGAGGUAUCAGAAGUGCGAAUGCUGACAUAAGUAACGAUAAAGCGGGUGAAAAGCCCGCUCGCCGGAAGACCAAGGGUUCCUGUCCAACGUUAAUCGGGGCAGGGUGAGUCGACCCCUAAGGCGAGGCCGAAAGGCGUAGUCGAUGGGAAACAGGUUAAUAUUCCUGUACUUGGUGUUACUGCGAAGGGGGGACGGAGAAGGCUAUGUUGGCCGGGCGACGGUUGUCCCGGUUUAAGCGUGUAGGCUGGUUUUCCAGGCAAAUCCGGAAAAUCAAGGCUGAGGCGUGAUGACGAGGCACUGCGGUGCUGAAGCAACAAAUGCCCUGCUUCCAGGAAAAGCCUCUAAGCAUCAGGUAACAUCAAAUCGUACCCCAAACCGACACAGGUGGUCAGGUAGAGAAUACCAAGGCGCUUGAGAGAACUCGGGUGAAGGAACUAGGCAAAAUGGUGCCGUAACUUCGGGAGAAGGCACGCUGAUAUGUAGGUGAAGUCCCUCGCGGAUGGAGCUGAAAUCAGUCGAAGAUACCAGCUGGCUGCAACUGUUUAUUAAAAACACAGCACUGUGCAAACACGAAAGUGGACGUAUACGGUGUGACGCCUGCCCGGUGCCGGAAGGUUAAUUGAUGGGGUUAGCGCAAGCGAAGCUCUUGAUCGAAGCCCCGGUAAACGGCGGCCGUAACUAUAACGGUCCUAAGGUAGCGAAAUUCCUUGUCGGGUAAGUUCCGACCUGCACGAAUGGCGUAAUGAUGGCCAGGCUGUCUCCACCCGAGACUCAGUGAAAUUGAACUCGCUGUGAAGAUGCAGUGUACCCGCGGCAAGACGGAAAGACCCCGUGAACCUUUACUAUAGCUUGACACUGAACAUUGAGCCUUGAUGUGUAGGAUAGGUGGGAGGCUU
RNAcentral lists this ribosomal RNA (1515 nucleotides) under Escherichia coli. RNAcentral describes it as "partial 23S ribosomal RNA". It matches the Rfam family "Bacterial large subunit ribosomal RNA", at positions 660 to 2157 of the family's 2925-position model. Lineage: Bacteria; Pseudomonadati; Pseudomonadota; Gammaproteobacteria; Enterobacterales; Enterobacteriaceae. The record is from RNAcentral.